GGAUUAAUGAUGACUUCCUCAUUGGAAUAUGAACAAACUGAGUGACAAAAAUUACUUGUCAGCUGAGAUCC
Molecule: small nucleolar RNA, 71 nt
Organism: Bison bison bison
Lineage: Eukaryota; Metazoa; Chordata; Mammalia; Artiodactyla; Bovidae
Gene: SNORD116
Rfam family: Small nucleolar RNA SNORD116
About the family: HBII-85 is a member of the C/D class of snoRNAs, which contain the C (UGAUGA) and D (CUGA) box motifs. HBII-85 is encoded in a tandemly repeated array with another C/D snoRNA, HBII-52, in the Prader-Willi syndrome (PWS) region of chromosome 15.
Source: Ensembl